GGGCGGUUAGCUCAGUUGGGAGAGCGCUGCCUUCGCAAGGCAGAGGUCGUGAGUUCGAAUCUCAUACCGUCCA
This is a transfer RNA of Candidatus Entotheonella sp., 73 nucleotides long. It matches the Rfam family "tRNA". Rfam says of the family: Transfer RNA (tRNA) molecules are approximately 80 nucleotides in length. NCBI's taxonomy places the organism in Bacteria, Pseudomonadati, Candidatus Tectimicrobiota, Candidatus Entotheonellia, Candidatus Entotheonellales, Candidatus Entotheonellaceae. The record is from Rfam.